AAAGGAAUAGACGGGGGCCCGCACAAGCAGCGGAGCAUGUGGUUUAAUUCGAAGCAACGCGAAGAACCUUACCAGGACUUGACAUCGUCUGCUAGUUCAAGAGAUUGGACCUUCCCUUCGGGGACAGAUAGACAGGUGGUGCAUGGUUGUCGUCAGCUCGUGUCGUGAGAUGUUGGGUUAAGUCCCGCAACGAGCGCAACCCCUGUAUUUAGUUGCCAUCAGGUAGAGCUGGGCACUCUAGAUAGACUGCCGUAGAGAAUACGGAGGAAGGUGGGGAUGACGUCAAAUCAUCAUGCCCCUUAUGUCCUGGGCUACACACGUGCUACAAUGGUCUGUACAACGGGAAGCGAAGGAGUGAUCUGAAGCCAAUCCCAAAAAACAGAUCCCAGUUCGGAUUGCAGGCUGCAACUCGCCUGCAUGAAGUCGGAGUUGCUAGUAAUCGCGGAUCAGCAUGCCGCGGUGAAUGCGUUCCCGGGCCUUGUACACACCGCCCGU
RNAcentral lists this ribosomal RNA (495 nucleotides) under uncultured bacterium. Its description in RNAcentral is "bacterial SSU rRNA". It matches the Rfam family "Bacterial small subunit ribosomal RNA", at positions 903 to 1397 of the family's 1533-position model. The record is from RNAcentral.